Molecule: ribosomal RNA, 460 nt
Filed under: uncultured bacterium
Lineage: Bacteria
Description: partial 16S ribosomal RNA
Rfam family: Bacterial small subunit ribosomal RNA
Source: RNAcentral
CCUACGGGUAGCAGCAGUGAGGAAUAUUGGUCAAUGGACGAGAGUCUGAACCAGCAACGUAGCGUGAAGGAUGACUGCCCUAUGGGUUGUAAACUUCUUUUAUAUGGGAAUAAAAUGUUCCACGUGUGGGAUUUUGUAUGUACCAUAUGAAUAAGGAACGGCUAACUCCGGGCCAGCAGCCGCGGUAAUACGGAGGAUCCGAGCGUUAUCCGGAUUUAUUGGGUUUAAAGGGAGCGUAGGUGGAUUGUUAAGUCAGUUGUGAAAGUUUGCGGCUAAACCGUAAAAUUGCAGUUGAAACUGGCAGUCUUGAGUACAGUAGAGGUGAGCGGAAUUCGUGGUGUAGCGGUGAAAUGCUUAGAUAUCACGAAGAACUCCGAUUGCGAAGGCAGUUCACUGGACUGCAACUGACACUGAGGCUCGAAAGUGUGGGUAUCAAACAGGAUUAGAUACCCUUGUAGUC